Molecule: transfer RNA, 86 nt
Filed under: Planctomycetaceae bacterium
Lineage: Bacteria; Pseudomonadati; Planctomycetota; Planctomycetia; Planctomycetales; Planctomycetaceae
Description: tRNA-Leu
Rfam family: tRNA
About the family: Transfer RNA (tRNA) molecules are approximately 80 nucleotides in length. Their secondary structure includes four short double-helical elements and three loops (D, anti-codon, and T loops).
Source: RNAcentral
GCCGAAAUGGCGGAAUUGGCAGACGCGCUAGGUUCAGGUCCUAGUCCGGGUUACACUGGGUGGAGGUUCGAGUCCUCUUUUCGGCA